UCCACACUAAGAUCGGUGUCGAUAUGGUGCUCCUGGGGGAGCCCGAGAUCACCAGGUCGUCUCAGGAGGGGUGCACCGGCCCAGGUCGGAAACGGAGCAGGUCAAAGCCCCCGUAUCGAUCAGUAGUUGGAUAG
This is an unclassified non-coding RNA of 134 nucleotides. It matches the Rfam family "Metazoan signal recognition particle RNA". Rfam says of the family: The signal recognition particle (SRP) is a universally conserved ribonucleoprotein. It is involved in the co-translational targeting of proteins to membranes. The eukaryotic SRP consists of a 300-nucleotide 7S RNA and six proteins: SRPs 72, 68, 54, 19, 14, and 9. The record is from Ensembl.